GGAUUGAACGCUGGCGGCAGGCCUAACACAUGCAAGUCGAGCGGUAGAGAGGUGCUUGCAUCUCUUGAGAGCGGCGGACGGGUGAGUAAUGCCUAGGAAUCUGCCUAGUGGUGGGGGAUAACGUUCGGAAACGGACGCUAAUACCGCAUACGUCCUACGGGAGAAAGCGGGGGACCUUCGGGCCUCGCGCCAUUAGAUGAGCCUAGGUCGGAUUAGCUAGUUGGUGAGGUAAUGGCUCACCAAGGCGACGAUCCGUAACUGGUCUGAGAGGAUGAUCAGUCACACUGGAACUGAGACACGGUCCAGACCUCGUACGGGAGCAGCGAGUGGGAAUAUUGGACAAGUGGGCGAAAGCCUAGAC
This 361-nucleotide ribosomal RNA is filed under the name uncultured soil bacterium. RNAcentral describes it as "bacterial SSU rRNA". It matches the Rfam family "Bacterial small subunit ribosomal RNA", at positions 27 to 388 of the family's 1533-position model. The record is from RNAcentral.